RNAcentral lists this ribosomal RNA (1421 nucleotides) under uncultured Bordetella sp. Its description in RNAcentral is "partial 16S-23S ribosomal RNA intergenic spacer". It matches the Rfam family "Bacterial small subunit ribosomal RNA". The record is from RNAcentral. Lineage: Bacteria; Pseudomonadati; Pseudomonadota; Betaproteobacteria; Burkholderiales; Alcaligenaceae.
GUCUGGAUUAGAGAACGAUUGAACGCUGGCGGACACAUGUCGAACGGCAUAUGGACUUCGGUCUGGUGGCGAGUGGCGAACGGUGAGUAGUACGUAUCGAACGCGCCCAGUAGCGGGGAUAACUACUUAAAGCGUAGCUAAUACCGUGGUCACGGCUCCUCAAAGCGACCUUUCGGGCCGUACUCAUUAGAGCGGGCCGAUAUCGGAUAGUUAGUUGGCGGGUAAUGGCUCACCAAGGCGACGAUCCGUAGCUGGUUUGAGAGGACGAUCGAGCCGAUCAAUCGAGACACGGCCCAGACUCCUACGGAGGCAGUAGUGGGGACUUGCGGACACGGGAAACCGAUCCAGCCAUCCUGCGUGCGAUGAAGGCUCAAGAGAAGACUCCUUGGGCAGGAGAAGAACGGUACGGAUACCUGCGUGAACCCUGACGAACAGAAUACACCGGCUAACCACGUGCCAGCAGCCGCGGUAAUACGUAGGGCGCGUUAACUGGAAAUUCAUUGCCGCGCGUGCGCAGGCGGUUCGAAAAAGAAAGAUGUGAAAUCCUGAUUAACUUCGAAAUGCAUUUUAACUACCGAUGAGCAGGCCGAGGGUGGAAUUUAUGUAGCAGUGGAAUGCUGCAGAUAUGCGGAGGAACACCGAUGGCGAAGGCAGCCCUGGAGAUACGACUGAUGUCACGUACGAAAGGGUGGGGAGCAAACAGGAUUAGAUACCCGGUAGUCCACGUGGCCUAUAACGAUGUCAACUAGUUGCUGGGGGCCUUCGGGGCCUUGGUAGCGCAGCUAACGUGAAGUUGACUGCCUGGGGGAGCACGGUCGCAAGAUUAAACCGUGCAGAAUCGACGGGGACCUGCACAAGCGGGUGGAUGAUGUGGAUUAACGGAUGCAACGCGAAAACCUUACCUACCCUGAUAUUGUUCAGAAAUCCCGGAAGAGAUUUGGGAGUGCUCGCAAGAGAACCGAAACACAGGUGCUGCAUGGCUGUCGUCAGCUCGUGUCGAGAUGUUGAAGUCCUGCAACGAGCGCAACCUGGUCACGAGUUGCUACGAAAGGGCACCCUAAUGAGACUGGACAGACAAACCGAGGAAGGUGAGCGACGUCAAGUCCUCAUGGCCUCAUGGUAGGGCUUCACACGUCAUACAAUGGCCGGGACAGUGGUCGCCAACCUGAGGAGCCAAUCCUGGCAACCCGAUCGAAGUUCCGGCUGCAGGACCGGCAACCCGACUGCGUGAAGUCGACCGCUGCACCGCGGACCGUGCGCGUCGCGGUGAAUAAUGUUCCCGGGUCUUUGUACACACCGCCUGUCACACCAUGGGAGUGGCUUUACCAGAAGUAGUUGAAGCUUAAUCAAGGAGGGCGAUUACCACUUAGAUUCAUGACUGGGGUGAAGUCGUAAUACAACCUACAUACUCGAUGCCCUAU